This 469-nucleotide ribosomal RNA is filed under the name Escherichia coli. RNAcentral describes it as "bacterial SSU rRNA". It matches the Rfam family "Bacterial small subunit ribosomal RNA", at positions 1077 to 1533 of the family's 1533-position model. Lineage: Bacteria; Pseudomonadati; Pseudomonadota; Gammaproteobacteria; Enterobacterales; Enterobacteriaceae. The record is from RNAcentral.
GGGUUAAGUCCCGCAACGAGCGCAACCCUUAUCCUUUGUUGCCAGCGGUCCGGCCGGGAACUCAAAGGAGACUGCCAGUGAUAAACUGGAGGAAGGUGGGGAUGACGUCAAGUCAUCAUGGCCCUUACGACCAGGGCUACACACGUGCUACAAUGGCGCAUACAAAGAGAAGCNGACCUCGCGAGAGCAAGCGGACCUCAUAAAGUGCGUCGUAGUCCGGAUUGGAGUCUGCAACUCGACUCCAUGAAGUCGGAAUCGCUAGUAAUCGUGGAUCAGAAUGCCACGGUGAAUACGUUCCCGGGCCUUGUACACACCGCCCGUCACACCAUGGGAGUGGGUUGCAAAAGAAGUAGGUAGCUUAACCUUCGGGAGGGCGCUUACCACUUUGUGAUUCAUGACUGGGGUGAAGUCGUAACAAGGUAACCGUAGGGGAACCUGCGGUUGGAUCACCUCCUUACCUUAAAGAAGC